UGUUAUUCUUUAAGCUUGAACCCACUAAAUCACAUUUCCAGUGCGGUUUGUUCGGUGAGGAGUAUUGGUCAGAAGGUAUAGAAUAUCAAGUGUAUUAAAAAUUGGGUUGCUGUUCUAGAUAUGUCUCAAUGAUUUAGGAUGUCUCUGUAACUGCGGACUCAAACAUUGGGCCUAACCAUUCACCACGUUUUAUCUACGUGUCCAAACUCCUAGACAGGCAUCCUUUAUCAUUAAUCUUCCAGACAAACAAUGAGCAGGCCUACACCCAAAGGAAAUUUGGAGCGUCGCAAACCUACCAUGCCAAAUAUUUGUGAACCUGUGGAGGUAUCUGGACCAUUCUUCUUGGAACUAAGUACCAAAGGUCACUCUGAAAGCAACCAUGUGCCUUAAGGUUAUCGUGAAGGUUCAAUGAGACCGUGCAUGUGAAGUCUUUCUUACUGGGCUGGCGAGUUCUCAAUAAAUGGUGGCUAUUAAGUUAUCAGAAUAACAAUUAAUGAUUUAUCACAAGAGCGCCUUGGAGUUUUGGCAAUUAAGUAGGAAGAAAAAUGACAAGGCUUCCAUACCUGGCAAAGGAAAUAUUCCUAUUGACUGUCUGUAGGUAUACGUGGGGAUAAAACUAAGGACACUCGGUUGCCUCUGAAAGAAACACACAAUGGGGGCCUCCGGGUGGCUCAGUGGGUUAAGCGUUGGACUCGGUUUCAGCUCAGUCUCAAAAAACAUUAAAAAAAAAAAAAAAAAAAAAAAAGAAAAUGAAAGAAACACACAAUGGUUAAUCUUCACACUUCUGAUACA
Panthera uncia (snow leopard) is the source of this 792-nucleotide long non-coding RNA. RefSeq lists it as uncharacterized. The transcript is spliced from 3 exons. The record is from RefSeq and is a predicted model, not a curated record. Lineage: Eukaryota; Metazoa; Chordata; Mammalia; Carnivora; Felidae.